GCCCAACAGCUAGCCCACCUAAACAAUUUCAACAAACCCUUGUUAAUACCCCCUAAAUACCCUAGUAUUUAAAUUAAACAAACCAUUUUUCCCCCUUAGUAUAGGCGAUAGAAAAGGGACUACGGCGCAAUAGAGAAAGUACCGCAAGGGAACGCUGAAAGAGAAAUGAAACAACCCAGUAAAGCCUAAAAAAGCAGAGAUUUCCCCUCGUACCUUUUGCAUCAUGAUUUAGCGAGUGUACCCCAAGCAAAGAGCACUUUAGUUUGACGUCCCGAAACUACGUGAGCUACUCCAAGACAGCCUAUUAAUAGGGCACACCCGUCUCUGUUGCAAAAGAGUGGGGAGAGCUUUGAGUAGAGGUGACAAACCUACCGAACCUAGUAAUAGCUGGUUGCCCAAGAAAUGAAUAGAAGUUCAGCCUCUUGGCUUCUUUUUUCACCCUAGUUUAACCCCUAUUGAUGCAUUAAAGAAACCAAGAGAGUUAGUCAAAGGGGGUACAGCCCCUUUGAAUCAAGACACAACUUUAUCAGGAGGGU
Molecule: ribosomal RNA, 536 nt
Filed under: Argyrocottus zanderi
Lineage: Eukaryota; Metazoa; Chordata; Actinopteri; Perciformes; Cottidae
Description: partial 16S ribosomal RNA
Rfam family: Bacterial large subunit ribosomal RNA
Source: RNAcentral